CAGCAGCCGCGGUAAUACGUAGGGUGCGAGCGUUAAUCGGAUUUACUGGGCGUAAAGCGUGCGCAGGCGGCCCGUUAAGACAGGUGUGAAAUCCCUGGGCUCAACCUAGGAAUUGCGCUUGUGACUGGCGGGCUCGAGUACGGUAGAGGGGGGUGGAAUUCCUGGUGUAGCAGUGAAAUGCGUAGAGAUCCGGAGGAACACCGAUGGCGAAGCCAGCCCCCUGGGCCUGUACUGACGCUCAUGCACGAAAGCGUGGGGAGCAAACAGGAUUAGAUACCCUGGUAGUCCACGCCCUAAACGAUGGGUACUAGCCGUUUGGUGCGCGAUAGCGCUGAGUGGCGAAGCUAACGCGAGAAGUACCCCGCCUGGGGAGUACGGCCGCAAGGUUGAAACUUAAAGGAAUUGGCGGG
This 410-nucleotide ribosomal RNA is filed under the name uncultured microorganism. RNAcentral's name for it is "bacterial SSU rRNA". It matches the Rfam family "Bacterial small subunit ribosomal RNA", at positions 509 to 917 of the family's 1533-position model. The record is from RNAcentral.